GCCCAGGGUAAGUCGGGACCUAAGGCGAGGCCGACAGGCGUAGUCGAUGGACAACGGGUUGAUAUUCCCGUACCCGCUUUGAAGCGCCAACGCUGAACCUCUUGAUGCUAAGCCCGUGAAGCCGGCCCGGAGUCUUCGGAUGAUGGGACGUGGUGGAGCCGGUGACCCGAUGGGGUAGUAGGUGAGCGAUGGGGUGACGCAGGAAGGUAGUCCAGCCCGGGCGGUGGUUGUCCCGGGGUAAGGGUGUAGGACGAACGGUAGGCAAAUCCGCCG
RNAcentral lists this non-coding RNA (273 nucleotides) under Saccharothrix sp. ST-888. RNAcentral describes it as "Bacterial large subunit ribosomal RNA". It matches the Rfam family "Bacterial large subunit ribosomal RNA", at positions 1372 to 1547 of the family's 2925-position model. Lineage: Bacteria; Bacillati; Actinomycetota; Actinomycetes; Pseudonocardiales; Pseudonocardiaceae. The record is from Rfam by way of RNAcentral.